Small nuclear RNA from Octodon degus (degu), 108 nucleotides. The record is from Ensembl. Lineage: Eukaryota; Metazoa; Chordata; Mammalia; Rodentia; Octodontidae.
AUGCUCUUGCUUUGGCAGCGUGUAUAUUAAAGUUGAACCACACAGAGAACGUUAGCAUGGGCUCUGCACAAGGGUGAUUCGCAAACUCAUGAAGCACUGCAUAUUUUU